RNAcentral lists this non-coding RNA (59 nucleotides) under Blattella germanica (German cockroach). Lineage: Eukaryota; Metazoa; Arthropoda; Insecta; Blattodea; Blattellidae. The record is from RNAcentral.
UAAAGCAUAGAGUUAAUUGAGCAUUUUUCUUCGCUGCUCAUUGACUGCUAUUCUUUAAA